GCCCCGUUCGUCUAGUGGCCUAGGACGCCGGCCUCUCACGCCGGUAACACGGGUUCGAAUCCCGUACGGGGUACCA
This 76-nucleotide transfer RNA is filed under the name Corynebacterium sp. RNAcentral describes it as "tRNA-Glu". It matches the Rfam family "tRNA". From Rfam's summary of the family: Transfer RNA (tRNA) molecules are approximately 80 nucleotides in length. Their secondary structure includes four short double-helical elements and three loops (D, anti-codon, and T loops). Lineage: Bacteria; Bacillati; Actinomycetota; Actinomycetes; Mycobacteriales; Corynebacteriaceae. RNAcentral also lists the same sequence under 6 other names. The record is from RNAcentral.